CGGGGCGUAGCGCAGCCUGGCAGCGCGUCAGCUUUGGGAGCUGAAGGUCGUGGGUUCGAAUCCCACCGCCCCGA
Molecule: transfer RNA, 74 nt
Filed under: Lentisphaerota bacterium
Lineage: Bacteria; Pseudomonadati; Lentisphaerota
Also listed under: 2 other names
Description: Lentisphaerae bacterium (marine metagenome) tRNA-Pro
Rfam family: tRNA
About the family: Transfer RNA (tRNA) molecules are approximately 80 nucleotides in length. Their secondary structure includes four short double-helical elements and three loops (D, anti-codon, and T loops).
Source: RNAcentral